Molecule: ribosomal RNA, 246 nt
Filed under: Escherichia coli
Lineage: Bacteria; Pseudomonadati; Pseudomonadota; Gammaproteobacteria; Enterobacterales; Enterobacteriaceae
Description: partial 23S ribosomal RNA
Rfam family: Bacterial large subunit ribosomal RNA
Source: RNAcentral
GCAUCACUGGUGUUCGGGUUGUCAUGCCAAUGGCACUGCCCGGUAGCUAAAUGCGGAAGAGAUAAGUGCUGAAAGCAUCUAAGCACGAAACUUGCCCCGAGAUGAGUUCUCCCUGACUCCUUGAGAGUCCUGAAGGAACGUUGAAGACGACGACGUUGAUAGGCCGGGUGUGUAAGCGCAGCGAUGCGUUGAGCUAACCGGUACUAAUGAACCGUGAGGCUUAACCUUACAACGCCGAAGGUGUUU